Molecule: transfer RNA, 76 nt
Filed under: Erysipelotrichaceae bacterium
Lineage: Bacteria; Bacillati; Bacillota; Erysipelotrichia; Erysipelotrichales; Erysipelotrichaceae
Also listed under: 1 other name
Description: tRNA-Glu
Rfam family: tRNA
About the family: Transfer RNA (tRNA) molecules are approximately 80 nucleotides in length.
Source: RNAcentral
GGUCCGUUGGUGAAGUGGUGAACACACUUGGUUCUCAUCCAAGCAUUCAGGGGUUCGAACCCCCUACGGACUACCA